RNAcentral lists this ribosomal RNA (857 nucleotides) under uncultured bacterium. RNAcentral's name for it is "SSU rRNA". It matches the Rfam family "Bacterial small subunit ribosomal RNA", at positions 524 to 1381 of the family's 1533-position model. The record is from RNAcentral.
UACGGGAGUGGCAAGCGUUAUCCGGAAUUAUUGGGCGUAAAGCGUCCGCAGGCGGUCUUGUAAGUCUGUUGUUAAAGCGUGGAGCUUAACUCCAUUUCAGCAAUGGAAACUGUGAGACUAGAGUGUGGUAGGGGCAGAGGGAAUUCCCGGUGUAGCGGUGAAAUGCGUAGAUAUCGGGAAGAACACCAGUGGCGAAGGCGCUCUGCUGGGCCAUAACUGACGCUCAUGGACGAAAGCCAGGGGAGCGAAAGGGAUUAGAUACCCCUGUAGUCCUGGCCGUAAACGAUGAACACUAGGUGUCGGGGGAAUCGACCCCCUCGGUGUCGUAGCCAACGCGUUAAGUGUUCCGCCUGGGGAGUACGCACGCAAGUGUGAAACUCAAAGGAAUUGACGGGGGCCCGCACAAGCGGUGGAGUAUGUGGUUUAAUUCGAUGCAACGCGAAGAACCUUACCAGGGUUUGACAUCCUGCGAAUCUUUUGGAAACAGAAGAGUGCCUUCGGGAACGCAGUGACAGGUGGUGCAUGGCUGUCGUCAGCUCGUGUCGUGAGAUGUUGGGUUAAGUCCCGCAACGAGCGCAACCCACGUCGUUAGUUGCCAGCAUUUAGUUGGGCACUCUAGCGAGACCGCCGGUGAUAAACCGGAGGAAGGUGUGGAUGACGUCAAGUCAUCAUGCCCCUUACAUCCUGGGCUACACACGUACUACAAUGCUACGGACAAAGGGCAGCAAACUCGCGAGAGCUAGCAAAUCCCAUAAACCGUGGCUCAGUUCAGAUCGUAGGCUGCAACUCGCCUACGUGAAGGAGGAAUCGCUAGUAAUCGCAGGUCAGCAUACUGCGGUGAAUACGUUCCCGGGCCU